This is a long non-coding RNA of Homo sapiens (human), 6255 nucleotides long. RefSeq lists it as uncharacterized. NCBI's taxonomy places the organism in Eukaryota, Metazoa, Chordata, Mammalia, Primates, Hominidae. The transcript is spliced from 3 exons. The record is from RefSeq and is a predicted model, not a curated record.
GAGGGUCAGUAAGGCAGGGAGAGGACCAACACAAUGGCACUGAUCCUCAAGAAAAUCAUUCUCAGCUUCUAAAGUUAUAAUAAUUCUCAGCUAAAGGAAGCAUACUGAACACAAUGUUGUAGAUGCAGCACUGAGGUGGCAUCUACAAGACCAUUCUCAGCUACCAGUAGGAGACUGCUAUUUAGGUAAGUAGGAAAAUUUGUUUAAAGUUGGCAACUAAAAAGCUCAGGGAGUUGUAGGGUAUCAGAGGGUUUCUUUUUUCCUUUUCUUCAGUUUCUAAGAGGAAUACUGGGCCAGGACAGUCUUGUCUGGGUAGGCUAUUAAUACAGUUUGGAUGUGUGUCCCUGCCCAACUCUCAUACUGAAAUGUAACCCCCAGUGUUGGAAGUGGGCUUGGUGAGAGGUGAUUGUAUCAUGAGGGUGAAUUUCUCGUGAAUGGUUUAGCACCAUCCCUUUUGCUACUGUCCCACCAAGUGAUAGUGAUGGUGAGUGAGUUCUCAUGAAUUCUGGCUGUUUAAAAGUGCGUAGCGCCUCCCGUCUCUCUGUCUUGCUCCUGCUGCGCCCUGUGACAUGCCUGCUUCCCCUUCGCCUUCCACCAUAAUUGUAAGUUUCCUGAGGCCUCCUCAGAGGCUGAGCAGAUGCCAGCAUCGUGCUUCCUGUACAGCCUGCAGAACCGUGAUCCAAUUAAACCUCUUUACUUUACAAAUUACCCAGUCUCAGCUAUUCUUUAUAGCAAUGUGAGAACGGCCUAACACAGCUACUGACCAGGCCUGGCUUGCUACUCCCUGGAAUUUUACAAAGCACUUUUUCUACCCUUCCAUCCCUCUCUUCUCCAUCUUGCAAUGUACCUCCUUUUUUCUUUUUUUUCCCUUUUUCAGAAGUAAGGAAGGGAAGAAGGGAGACGUCAGAGAAGGGUGGGGUGGAGAGGAGAGAUAGAGAAUCAUGGGAGGAAGAGGAAGGGGGACUAGCUGGGUAAGAGUGAUGUGAUUAGAGGCCUAUAGAAAAGAGGAAGAAAAAAAUAAAAAGAAGCAGAGUUUUUUUGGGUUACAGCAAGGAUUGGAGCUCUAACUUGGUGACUUAAGGUAGGUUCCUUUAUGCUUUCAGCACCGCAAGUUUAACAAACAGAAAAGAGAUGGUCUGGUUGAUCUGAACUUACUUGAAUAUUUCCCCAGGGUCAAAUGAGAGUAAACUCGUGGACAACUGGGGUGCUUUCCCAACAAGCAAACCUUUGUUGGAACAAUAGGAAGGAUGCCAGAUCGAGAGGAGGUUUUUUUCAACUCAUUUCCAAGCAAAGCAAAGUGACCUCUGUGACUGUAGCUCAGAGGAGACACACAAACACGAGAAUAGGGUACCUAGCCCCCUAUGAAAGGAUAUGAGGAAGACUUCCACUCCCAUCUUCCACUCCCUCCACCUCCUGUGCCUGGAUCCCCUACAGGUACAAAAGAGGAGAGGCCUCCUGACCUGAGCGCUUACAAUGGAACAGUGGGUUUAGGAGAUCAAAGAAAUCCCUGUCCAGAUCAGAGGGGAAUUUGGAGGGGUAGCUACGGGGUAUACUGACUGGGAGAAGACCAUAAACCUGAUGGAGAAAAACACAACUGAUUGUACUGAAAGUGUAAAAUGCUGCACCAGCCAAAGAUCUAGGUGCAAAAGAUUUCUUCCUACCCAGUGGUUGUAAAUGACUUUGUGUAAUAGUCCUGGUGUGACCCUGGAAGAUAUUAGGGCACCAUGGGAAGAUCUGACUUUGUGAAGAAUUGUCCAUAUAUGUAUAUAAAAUGUCUUGGAUUAUCGAUUUCCUUUUUCUUUCCUUCAUUCCCCUUCCUCCCUCCCUCCCUUUCUUCCUCCCUUCCUCUCUCCCUCCUUCCCUCCCUCUCUCCUUCCCUUUCUUCCUUCCUUCUCCCUUUCUUUCCAGAGAGCUGCAUUCUGCUACACUGUGGUCAAUGUACUUGGAGAAUGGGAGAGCUGGUACCAAUCUCCUCCUGGACUGCCCACCGGGAUGACUGUUUGAGAUUUCAGGGUGGGGUUGGAGAAGGCUAAGGCCUCCAUCAAGCAUUGUGGAAGCACAUAAGUUACAUGAAAAACAAUGACCUACAGUGGAUUCUAUACGAAACAUUGAAAACGGGCUUUAAACCUUUUAAAAAAAUUUAACAAGGGUAUUAUUUGAAAUUAGGGAGGAGUGUGAAAUCAGAAGACAGACAGCAAAGGGAGAAAGAUGGCAAGUACAAGCCACACUUAACCUGUUUCACUCUUUUGCCUGGCGCCAGACCUGACGCCCAGAAGCAACUUUUUCAUGAAGACGAAGUAUUCAGAGCUCAGCUUUUUUUUUUUCCUAUUCCUUACUGGGAUGAAAUUUUGGCAACAUUAGUAGUUUAUUAUUUCUAAAGCCUUCAAAGUUUUUAUCUCCUAACAAUAUAGUACUUAAUCAAUGAGGGAAAUACACUAAAAGCAAGAAAGAAAAAUCCAGUUAUAGUUUGAGGUUAAUAAUGUAGCUUUUGUCAGCCCAGAAUGAGGCCAAAAUAACUCCUGAGCUUGGCAGUAGCAGGUUCCCGCCACCCUGGAUGGGCAUGAUCAUUAAACGUGUGCCACCUGGUGGUGAUCUGUAGCACGAAGCUUGUUGAGCUCUUGGUGGACACAGCACUGGAGUUUAGCUUACAAGGCUAAUUGACAAUCCUGCUGAGCUGAUCACUGCUCCCUCCAUAAGUGUUCAGACAGAACUGUGAUCCUGAGGCUGUGGCUCUACCUAGGUGAGUCAGAGCCAAAAAGCCCAGAACUCCAACUUCUGUGAUCCUUCGACAAAUGACAGCCUGGGCAACAGAGCAAGACACCGUCUUUAUAAUAAACUGAAAAAGUAGCUGUUAGUGGUAUGAUGUAUAAGAGCACAGGGUGGCUCAUGCCUGUAAUCCCAGCUGGGGAUGCUGAGGUGGGAGGAUCACUUGAGCCCAGAAGUUUGAGGCUGCAGUGAGCUGUGACUGGGCCGCUGCACCCUUCUCCAGCCUGGGCGACAGACAGAGACCUUGUCUCUAAACAAAACAAACAAAUGAAUCAUAGCCCUCAAGUUCUGCCCAGGUUUCAGCCAGCAGCAAUGUGCCCCUGCAACUUCCAGCCCUUUCAGCCAGGGGCACGGCUGGCUUCAAACAGGCUGAGGAAGCUCUUGAGUGACUCACUUUUCUUUAGGAAAAACCUAAGGUUUUAUUUAAUAGGUUGGAGAAGAUGUGGCCACCUCAGGCUUGAAUGUCAAGUUGUACUUGCAGUGGAGGUUAUUUGCAUCCCAACUUACUUUCCAAUGGGGUAAAAAGUGCUGAAGGUUUGUGGUUUGUGAUGGGAAAGUUAGUAAAUGUUAAUAUACUUACUUUCAUCUUUGCAUGGAGAAAAAUGCCGAUAGUAAAUGUUAAUAUACUUAUUUUCAUCUUUGCAUGGAGAAAAAUGCCGAUAGAGAAAAGGAACAAUUUCAUUCUGCUUUGUAUUUCCUUCAGCUGGUCUAUUUAAAGUACACACAAAGGCUGGGCACAGUGGCUCACACCUGUAAUCCCAGCACUUUGAGAGGCUGAGGUGGAUAGAUCACUUGAGGUCAGGAGUUCGAGACCAGCCUGACCAAAAUGGUGAAACCUAAUCUCUACUAAAAAUAUAAAAAUUAGCUAGGCAUGGUGGUGUGUGCCUGUAAUCUCAGCUACUCAGGAGGCUGAGGCAGGAGAAUCACUUGAACCCGGGAAGUGGAGGUUACAGUGAGCCGAGAUAAUGCCACUGCACUCCAGUCUGGGCAACAGAGUGAGAUCCUGCCUCAAAAAAAUAAAGAAAGAAAUAAAGUACACACAGAGGUUUCAGGAAAGCUUUAAAGAAGAAAGAUAAUGAGUGGAGGAGGAUAAUGAAAAUCUAACCCUAAAAUAGAAAAACGGCAGUACCACCAAGCUCAGAACCAGAGACUUCAUAUUCAGUACUAACGAAGAGGGUGGGGUUGAAGCUUUUCUCUGCUUGGUCCAUGCAAAGAAAAAAGAAGGUUAGUCUAGCAAAUAACUAACAUGAAUAGCAUUAUCGCAGAUAUCUUGAAAUAACUAUGAUCUUACUUUCAUAGAGGAUUGUAUGAUAGCUUUAAUUUUUCAAUCUCGUAGGAUUUGAGGGAGAGAUCUACUCCUUCCUCCCAGUGAUGGGUCAUAAGAGAACAAUUUAGAAAAAUAGGAAGUGGCAGCAAGUCAAUAAGGGCCUUCUCUUUAUCUACCCAAAUCUUCUGCAGGGUCUGGUCUCUCCCCUAUGACCUCCCGCCUGCUGGAGGCUUGCAACAAGGGCUAGACAACAUAUGUAGCAGACUUAACAAAUCAACUGAGAUCUGAAGUAAAAACGUACAGGCUGUUCAAGAGGGAAGACUGAAUUUUGAAAUAGGAAGAGACAACUGUAUCCUUCUGGCUCUCUGAGAAACUUUACACAUUGCAGUUAAUGAAGCCAGUGGCUUUGGGGAAGUGGUAUGAUGUAUAAGAGCACACACUACAGGGUCCGGCAGGCUUGCGUUUGAAUCCCGGCACUAAUUGGUUCUGCGGCUUUAAGCUUCUCUGGGCCUUAGUUCCUUCGUCUGUAAGGUAGGGGUCACAGGGUUCUGCUAAAUAUUUCGUGAAGUUACGAAUCAAGUGCCUAGCAGAGCAGCUGCUUACUACUCCCUUCCACAGUAAACAGUUUUCUCUUUUCCCUGACUUACCCCGCCUCCCCAGAUUUUCAGACUAAGAAGAGACGCUGCUGGCUUAGAAUUUUCUAUGUGGAAGCAAAGCCACACCAAAGGGUACACCGCCUUUAGAUUUCAUUACCAUAAACUGAGUAGGUCUUUGGCAACAGCAAGACAGCUGGAGCCCAUAGAGACUUCCAGAGGCCUGCAGCGCAGCUGGGAGGGUCAAGGAGGGGGAACUGGAAGGGCCAGAUAGGGAAGGAAGGAUGGCUGAGAAUCUAGGCAGUAUCUGAGAGGUGAGGCCCAGUCCAGAUGGUCACAGCUUUAGCUGGGUCACCUUAGCCUUUCUGUUCUUGUUGCUUCAUAUUUGGUUUACCUCUGUUUUGUAGUAAAAUAACUCUUGAAAAUAGGCCACUCGUGGGUUUGUCAGGGAGUAGUGCCUCACUCGGUCAUUUAGGUAGGAGGGCAGCGUGUGUUUUGAGUGUAUUGUUGGCAGCCACCAAGUCAAAUAGAUUUGGGGGGAUGGUAAGGAGCAAGAAAAUAUAAUUAGGGGCUUCCCUGGGUAGAUUCAGAAUUUAUGAACCACCAGUGUAUAUUACCCAAUGGAAUGUUUAAAGUAAUAAUGCCACAUAUGUCCACAGUAGUCCAUAAUCCAGACUUUCCAUUCUUUUGGAUUGGCCUUUUCUUCAAUUUUUCUGGAUUAUUAUAUAUUCAUUACAUUAAUCUUUUUCACCAAGUCUUACUUUCCUCCUUCCUGCUUUCUCUCAACAGAGAGGGAAACAGAAAAAAAUCUAGACUAUGAACAGAUAUAGGUGGAGUGUUGCGGCAUUGGGAAAGCGUGCUGUUACAACAGGUGGCAGACCCUAUGAGCGCGCACACACACACACACACACACACACCCAUGCAUUACUCAGUACCAUAAGAUCACCCACAUGAAUAAUAAGGCCCAGGUCCAGAGUUAUAUCAGCCCUGUGUCAUUUCUCUAAUGGCCACUGAGUGCUUCGGUUUGCCACACAUUCAUUCUCUUGUGCUUCUAAGAGACCUGUGACCCAUGGGGACUCCAUGCAGAUGGCAACAGAGACCAACGCCUCCCUCACUGUAGCAUUUGUUCCCCCUUUAAGUUUUUAAAAGACAUGUUAGAGACCCUGAAGGCCCAGGAGACUAUACUCAUUUUCUUACAUUGAUGAAAAUCUAAGUUUAAGACUUGCCAGGGGUUCCCUAUUGCUAUGAUCUAAAUGUGUCCCCCAAAAUUCAUGUGCUGGAAACUUAACCCCCAAUGCAACAGUACUGGGAGGUGGAGCCUAUGGUGGGUGUUUAGGUUGUGAGAGCUCCGCACUAUGAAUGGAUUAUUGCCACUACAAAAGGGGCCUGAGGGAGUGGGUUCUCCUGCUCUCUCCUGAUCUUCUGCCAUGUAAGGCUGCAAUGUUCCUCCUCUCUGGAAGACACAACAACAAAGUGCCAUCUUGGAACCAGAGAUUCAAUCUGCCAGCACCUCGAUCUUAGACUCCCCAGUCUCCAGAAUUGUGAGAGAAUAAAUUUCUGUUCAUUAAAAGUUAUCCAGUCUACGAUAUUCUGUCAUAGCAGCACAAAGUGAACUGAGACAUCUGCCAU